GUGCUCCAAACUCAUGCAAUCCUCAAAGUCAAAACAAUUCUUGUUAAUCAUUGUCAUGCAAAAUAAUACUAUAUAAACGAUUGUCUUUACACAGUCCGAUAAGUAAACAUAGUAUACAGUUAUUAUCAUCAUGCCUUGAAUGAUGUGACAAGAUACAUCCAACGGGCGACAAUGAAUUUAAGUUUUCGUUCAUUUUAAUUGAU
This 203-nucleotide long non-coding RNA is filed under the name Mytilus galloprovincialis (Mediterranean mussel). The record is from RNAcentral. Lineage: Eukaryota; Metazoa; Mollusca; Bivalvia; Mytilida; Mytilidae.